UUGGAGGGCAAGUCUGGUGCCAGCAGCCGCGGUAAUUCCAGCUCCAAUAGCGUAUAUUAAAGUUGUUGCAGUUAAAAAGCUCGUAGUUGAAUUUCGGGGUUAGUAGGUUGGUCAUGCCUCCGGUAUGUACUGGUCUCACUGAUUCCUCCUUCCUGAUGAGCCGUAAUGCCAUUAAUUUGGUGUUGCGGGGAAUUUGGACUGUUACUUUGAAAAAAUUAGAGUGUUUAAAGCAAGCUAACGCUUGAAUACAUUAGCAUGGAAUAAUGAAAUAGGACGUUCGAUCCUAUUUUGUUGGUUUCUAGGAUUGACGUAAUGAUUAAUAGGGAUAGUUGGGGGCAUUAGUAUUCAAUUGUCAGAGGUGAAAUUCUUGGAUUUAUUGAAGACUAACUACUGCGAAAGCAUUUGCCAAGGAUGUUUUCAUUAAUCAAGAACGAAAGUUAGGGGAUCGAAGACGAUCAGAUACCGUCGUAGUCUUAACCAUAAACUAUGCCGACUAGGGAUCGGAUGAUGUUAAUUUUUUAAUGACUCAUUCGGCGCCUUACGGGAAAC
RNAcentral lists this ribosomal RNA (549 nucleotides) under uncultured Rhizophagus. RNAcentral describes it as "SSU rRNA". It matches the Rfam family "Eukaryotic small subunit ribosomal RNA", at positions 548 to 1098 of the family's 1831-position model. Lineage: Eukaryota; Fungi; Glomeromycota; Glomeromycetes; Glomerales; Glomeraceae. The record is from RNAcentral.